UUCUUUGAAUCCAAAGGCAUCCCCAAAUAUUUGAAUGGGAGCCUGCCUUCAGAAUAUCCUAACACCUGUAAAAUCUCCUGCUUCUGCCAGUUGGUUACCCCUGCUAAUUACACUGCAUCAGUAUUUGCUUGAAGUCCAGAAACCUUAGAGAAUUUUUGGAGAGUCUGUUUCAGUAAGCUGACAGACUGAACAUCUGUCUUACAGAACAUAAGAAGAUCAUCCGCGAAGCAAACAUGUG
Molecule: long non-coding RNA, 238 nt
Filed under: Nicotiana benthamiana
Lineage: Eukaryota; Viridiplantae; Streptophyta; Magnoliopsida; Solanales; Solanaceae
Description: long non-coding RNA (NBEN_LNC007401)
Source: RNAcentral